This 529-nucleotide ribosomal RNA is filed under the name uncultured Halobacteriales archaeon. RNAcentral's name for it is "bacterial SSU rRNA". It matches the Rfam family "Archaeal small subunit ribosomal RNA", at positions 339 to 867 of the family's 1478-position model. The record is from RNAcentral. Lineage: Archaea; Methanobacteriati; Methanobacteriota; Halobacteria; Halobacteriales.
GCGCGAAAACUUUACACUACACGAAAGUGUGAUAAGGGGAUUCCAAGUGCGUACACACAUGUGUACGCUUUUUAGGAGGGCAAAGUCCUCGUAGAAUAAGUGGUGGGUAAGACCGGUGCCAGCAGCCGCGGUAAUCCCGGCGCCACAAGUGGGGACCAGGGUUAUUGGGCCUAAAGCGUUCGUAGCAGGCCGUGUAAAUCUCUUGUGAAAUCGUUGGGCUUAACCUAACGGCGUGCAGGAGAGACUGCUCGGCUAGAGACCGGGAGGGGUAGAGAGUAUUCCUUGGGGAGCGGUAAAAUGCUAUAAUCCUUGGAAGACUACCUGUGGCGAAGGCGCUCUACCAGAACGGGUCUGACUGUGAGGGACGAAAGCCAGGGGAGCAAUCCGGAUUAGAUACCCGAGUAGUCCUGGCUGUAAACUCUGCGAGCAAGGUGUUGCAUAUUCUAACAUGAAUAUGCAGUGUCGAAGAGAAGUCGUUAAGCUCGCCGCCUGGGAAGUACGGUCGCAAGACUGAAACUUAAAGGAAGUU